ACCGGGAACCCCCUUCAGACAUUAGGGCUCAUACAGAGAGCGGUCAUGGUAGCAGUGUUGAGGAGCCCCCCACCUCACCCCACCCCACAUGACCACUGCCCACCCCCUACCCAGAUCUCACCACUCAGCGCUGCCAGCAUCAUCCCAGCCAGCCGGCAGCCAGACGCGGGGCCGAGGCCAGCACAGACAGCAACAUAGGAGCCACCGAGGACCAAGGCCACAGAGAUAGCAGCACACAGACUGAACCAAAGGACAGAGCAUACACUGUAACCAAUAGGUGAGUAUCACAUGAUGUCAGCUCCGUUAUCUCAGCCCAAUUAUCUGCCUAAACCUCCUCAGGGGUCAGACAUUAUGGCUGUGAUUGACAACUGAUGUAACCUCUCAGAAAUGAAAGAGAAGACUUAAUGGUCCUUCUGUGGCUCAGUUGGUAGAGCAUGGCGCUUGUAACGCCAGGGUAGUGGGUUCGAUUCCUGGUACCACCCAUACGUAGAAUGUAUGCACACAUGACUGUAAGUCGCUUUGGAUAAAAGCGUCAGCUAAAUGGCAUAUAUUAUUAUUAUAUUAUUAAUUUUUUUCAUGUAGGCUACAGUCUGGUGUAUCUGUGUGAGUGGCCCUUAUGCAAUCCCCCAGACCUGUGCAACAAUUGUGUGAUUACACCAUCCCUCUUCCUGGGAUUGAGGGUCAAAACUGAGCACUCAGUCACAGGUGUUUAUAUGAGCUCAGCAUAGUGUCUGGUUGCUGAGUAAUGUUCUGCGGUGUCCAUGUCCACACACUGAAACGUGCCAGAUAGAAACACUGUUCAGGGGCACAGUCAGCCCGCCAUUCUAAAUCGGCCGAAAGUCAGACACAGAGGGGAACGCUGUGUAUCAGAUGAUAUCAGAUAUCAGAUCCAAGAAAACUUGUCCGAAACCUUACUGUCACCAGUGACCCACAACAACACCACUUCCUCCUGACAAAACGAGCUGAUGGCGUCUUCUUUACUCUGAUUCAAUUGUGUGUUUAGCUAUUUUUUACCAGCCAAGCACAAACAUGAAAUAAUUACUGUAUAUAAACCAGAUGAAGUGUCAGCACUCCAUGGGAGUUUCCUCCUCCUUCUCUUCCAUCUCCUUCCUCUUCCUCCUCCUUCUCAUCCUCCCUCCUUCACCUCCUCCUCAAGCCUCCUUGUGGUGCCUGAGGCCUGAUGUGGGUAGGCAGGAGGCUCCAGUAAUCCUGUCUUUGUGGGCCAGGCAAGUUACACGCUCAGGAAGCAGGCAGGGCACUGUGCCCUGCCUUCCUGCCUGGAUUCUGUGGUGUUGUGACACCCAGACACCCAGAGACCUGGUCACCCUGACACCUACACACAUCUAGUCCAUUCACCAGCACCUAGCAUAGACAUAUCACACCUCUCCAGUGAGGGAUCCUCUCACAUAUUAUUAGGGUAUCAGUUCAAAAGUUAUUAGAAUGUUAUAAUGUUCUAUCAAGUUAACUGAUUAUUUCAUCUAAUGUAUAUGAGUACACCAGUUUAAUGAUCAAAUAAUUAAGAAUCAACUGGGAAAUGGUGCCCACAAACUUUAUGUGAGAAAGGAGUGAGAGCAAGGCUAACGGUAUGUGGAAUGAGUUAGAUCAUUUUUUAAAAUGGAAGCUCCAGUACAGUAGCAGUGAUCUAGGGAGAGAUUUCAUAGCCACAGGGAUGAGAGCCAAGGCUGAUGGUGGAAUCCUGGGUGUAAUGUGAAGAGUAGAGGAAGUAUACUGAGAGCAGAGGGAGAGAGUGAGCUCCUGGGUUGUUUCCCAAUUGGCACCCUGUUCCCUAUAUAGUGCACUACUUUUGACCAAAAGUAGUGCACUCUACGGGGAAUAGGGUACCAUUUGGGACUUAAUUGUUUGUUUGCUCUGCGGCUGGGUGUCCUGCAGUUAGGGAUUUAGUUUGGGCGAUGCUCCUGGCACCCUACCCCCUCUGUGGUCGCUGUGAGAAAAACGUGCUGGAACAGGAGAACGGCCCACACCCCUGCUGUCAUGAUGGCAGCAUCUCUCUCAACAGCGUGCUGCUGAUUAAAACUCUGUGGCCACAAUCCAACAUGGCUGAAGCUCCUCAAAAAUCAGUGCCAAACGCAUUUCAAAACACCCCAAGUACUCCAAUCCCCAUGUAGGGAUUAGGGGUGUGGGAAUUUGGGAAUGUCAGUGGGAUUGCAGGGAUUAGGGUUGUGGGAACAGGGAGGAAUGUCAGUGGGAGUUGAGGGCACAGGGACAGGAAGGAGCAACAUUUAAAUAUGCAGGCAGGCAGGGGUCAAAGUCAUUUCCUGUUCUCCAACAUAACGUUUACAGCCCGCACAUUCCCCCAAUAUACAGUAAGCCUCAGUCUUUAUGGUACCUCCCUCUUACAGUUUGAUACUGGAAUGGGACUGCACAGACAACUGUCACAAUGUACUUAUGUGUGGAUCAUGCUGUUUCGUUGAGCGCUCUAAAGAAUCCUCCAUUGCUCUUCUUACCCACAGGUCAGUCUGCACUGGGAUCUUAGGACCUCUUUGGUUUCUUACCUAACUCCAACUUUCUUAGUCAGAACUAUCCUAUAGCGAUGUGAAGAGAAGACAGGUAAGGUAAAUCUGGGGGGGCCUGCCAGAACCAAGGCGUUGAUGUUUUACUGUGUAGGUCUAUUGCUUGGUCCUCAGGCCCCAGGUGCAGUGCUGCAUCUCUGGUCAAUUGGGAGUCUGAGAUGAAGCACUGUAGCUCGGGAAGGGGGGCGCAGCUACAACGGGGUGAGCAGUCUGAGUGGUGGCCCCAUGUCUAUACCUCUCUGCCUUAUUCUAGACGGUCUUCUAAUGGAGACCUAUGUUCAGGAUAUUAGGGAUGGAGGGCCCCCGUGACUGGUGCUGCCCCUCCCAGCCUCUCUCUCUCUCUCUCUCUCUCUCCCAGGUCUGGCCACAUAUCUGAGAUGCCAUAUCAUCGCUCCACCCAUGAUGUUUACCUCUGCUUCAUACAGCCGUGUGGCCCAGUAAAGACUAUAGUUGCUGGUGUGUUUUCCAUGCUUUAAUUCACCACCUCCUCCUGAGUGCAUUUGCUGCAUUUACCCUGGCCUUUUCCUCGCUCCCGGGGUCCAGUUUUCCCAGGAAUCCCUUGGGCAAUCACAAGGGGGAUUCCUGGAAAUACUGUUCUUGGGGGUGGGGCUUGACUACAUGGAUCUGGGAUAGUAAUACAAUCUGCUCGUGAUAUGUUCCACAGACAUGUGUGAUGUAAUGGAAAAUUCUAUGAACGGGGAAGGACAAUGAAGGAAGAUAGAACGAAUGCUACACUAUUUUAUAUAUUGAUGCAAGGCCUGGCCUGGAUAAAUACUCUUAUGUAUUUAAGUGUCUUUACCUUUUGAUAUGAAUUUCACUAUGUCUGAGAAUCUUUAUACACUCAUACAAUUUCAUAUUAGCUAUAAUAUAACUUUUUCAUAUCAAAUGUGCCAGGUGAAUUAAAAAAAAAAUGUUAAUAAAUGUCAACAUUUCCAACA
Oncorhynchus keta (chum salmon) is the source of this 3469-nucleotide long non-coding RNA. RefSeq lists it as uncharacterized. The record is from RefSeq and is a predicted model, not a curated record. The transcript is spliced from 2 exons. NCBI's taxonomy places the organism in Eukaryota, Metazoa, Chordata, Actinopteri, Salmoniformes, Salmonidae.